RNAcentral lists this transfer RNA (72 nucleotides) under Gemmatimonadales bacterium. RNAcentral describes it as "tRNA-Cys". It matches the Rfam family "tRNA". From Rfam's summary of the family: Transfer RNA (tRNA) molecules are approximately 80 nucleotides in length. Their secondary structure includes four short double-helical elements and three loops (D, anti-codon, and T loops). RNAcentral also lists the same sequence under 2 other names. Lineage: Bacteria; Pseudomonadati; Gemmatimonadota; Gemmatimonadia; Gemmatimonadales. The record is from RNAcentral.
GGCGCCGUAGCCAAGUGGUAAGGCAGAGGUCUGCAAAACCUCUAUUCGUGAGUUCGAUUCUCACCGGCGCCU